ACGCGGGUGCGGGCCGGCGGGGUAGAAGCCACCCGGCCCGGCCCGGCCCGGCGA
Molecule: microRNA precursor, 54 nt
Filed under: Homo sapiens (human)
Lineage: Eukaryota; Metazoa; Chordata; Mammalia; Primates; Hominidae
Description: microRNA hsa-mir-4466 precursor
Source: miRBase by way of RNAcentral